This 484-nucleotide ribosomal RNA is filed under the name uncultured bacterium. Its description in RNAcentral is "bacterial SSU rRNA". It matches the Rfam family "Bacterial small subunit ribosomal RNA", at positions 28 to 507 of the family's 1533-position model. The record is from RNAcentral.
GAUGAACGCUAGCGGCAGGCCUAACACAUGCAAGUCGAGGGGCAGCACAGGUAGCAAUACUGGGUGGCGACCGGCGGAUGGGUGCGUAACGCGUAUGCAACCUACCAUUGAUUGGGGCAUAGCCCGAAGAAAUUCGGAUUAAUACUCCAUAAUAUUCAUUAAAGGCAUCUUUUAUGAAUUAAAGCUUUUGCGAUCAAUGAUGGGCAUGCGUGACAUUAGUUAGUUGGUGAGGUAACGGCUCACCAAAACGAUGAUGUCUAGGGGUUCUGAGAGGAUUAUCCCCCACACUGGUACUGAGACACGGACCAGACUCCUACGGGAGGCAGCAGUGAGGAAUAUUGGUCAAUGGACGCAAGUCUGAACCAGCCAUGCCGCGUGCAGGAUGACGGCCCUAUGGGUUGUAAACUUCUUUUACUAGGGGAAUAAAGUGAGUCACGUGUGAUUUUUGCAUGUACCCUGUGAAUAAGCAUCGGCUAACUCCGUG